Daucus carota subsp. sativus is the source of this 1917-nucleotide long non-coding RNA. RefSeq lists it as uncharacterized. The record is from RefSeq and is a predicted model, not a curated record. Lineage: Eukaryota; Viridiplantae; Streptophyta; Magnoliopsida; Apiales; Apiaceae. The transcript is spliced from 3 exons.
CAUCACACUUCAGACAUCAGUUAGAAUUGCCACUAAUGUUAAAAAUGCUUUUAACAUCAUUUUCACUUAAACUGAUGUGUUAAAGUACUUUAGACAUCAGUUAUUUAUGCAACUGAUAUGUAAGGUACGUGUUUAAAAAAAGUUUCCACCAUUCCCACCCCUAUUUCCCCUUUAUCAAAAAUUUCCCUCCCUUAUAAAAUUUCAACUUCCCUCCCUUAAACAAAUUCCAUCUCCCUCAAUAUUCAUAACAUAAAACGUUGAAAUAAAAUCACUACAAACAAAUACAUAUAAAUAUUUAUAUAAAUCAAAAUCUUUAAAAUAAAAAAUCAUAUAUAUAUUUUUAUUUUGAAAUAUUAAAAAAACAUUAAAAUACACAAAUCAUAUAUGUUAUAACUUUAAAAUUAUAAAAAUAAAUAUUAAAAAUUAUAAUUAUUCAACUAAGUUAAAAAUAUUAAACUAAUUAAAACUACUCCCACACACACAUAAAUUAAAAUCACCCAACACAUUACAACCCAACACAUUACACAUAUAAAAUUACAUAUCUAACAAAAAUAUAAAAUUAAAGCAUAUAUACUAAACCAAAAUCAUAACGAAAGACACAUUCACACACACUCAAUCACUCGUUUAUAAAAAAAGUCCCGACAUAUCAAAGCUCAAGAACCCUAAAAUCCUCCUGACAAGAAAUCCUUCUACGUCCUGCGAUUCCGUCCCAAUUCAGGCACUUCAAAAGCUAUAAAUCCUCGAUCCCGUCCCACCUCAGUCCCUCGAUGUCGUUCCCCUACAUCUCGCUGGUUGCUGCUCAGGGUCGAGGACUCAAAGCUUCAGUUUAAUCAAUGGACUGGGAGCUUAAUUAUUAAGUUGGUAAUCUUUGAUUGAUGUAUACAUGAUGUAUUUGUUUGUUUAUUGGGGUCUUUAUUGUGCUAUUGUAUAUAUAUGAUGAUUCUUGAUUUUGGGGUUCUUUAUAUGAGGGCUUUUGAUUUUUAGGGCUCUGCUAGUGAUUUAUAUCUCUUAAGAUUUUAUUGAUUUGGUUUGCUUAUGGUUUGUUUAUGAUUCUGAUGGUUUGAUUUUUAGGGCCUUUUGGUUAUGGUCUGCUUAUAUAUCUACUUAUGAUUUGCUUGUGAUUCUUUUGUUGUGCUUGUAUAUGUAUGUCUUUGUGGUUUGCGGGUGUGGAAGUAUACUUGAUAAAAAUUAGUGUUGCAACAAAUGAACUGAUAUUAGUAGAAUACAGCAAAUUUAGGGUUAAUUUUGACUGGAAGUAGAGAUACUUGUAUAUAUGAUUAUAUUAACUUAAUAGUUUUGACUGGAACUAUACUUGCUAGUGCCCAAGCUUCUUCAGCAAAUGGGUGGACAAGAGUUAUUGUUGAGAAGCCAUAUGGCCGUGAUUCAGAGUCAUUUGCCGAACUUACUAGAUGUCUAAAGCAGCACUUGGCAGAGGACCUGCAGAAUCGGGUAUAGUAUGAUUAAAGAUGCAGAGGAUAAAGGUUUAAUCAUCCUUGGGAAGCAAGGAUAUUGCUAAGGUAAAAGAUGAUCAGGAGUGGGAGAUAUUCGAAACCAAGAAAGCAUUAUCAAGAACAGGACCUAAUGCAGCAUAUCAACCAAAAAAGAUUUCCAUGGAAGAGGAGCUAAAGAUUUUCCAACGAUGCACGGGGAUCAAUGAAAUUAUGUUCUACUCGCCAGUGCUGUUUACUACAUCUUCCAGGAGCAAAUUUAAACGACAUAUAUAGCUUUGAUUAUGUACUUUAGAGGCUUUGAUUAUGUACUUGAUAUUUAAAUUAGAUGGCUGUGUAGUAGUUGAUCGAUAUUGGAUUUUAUGGAUGUGUAGUCGGUGAAAUUGGAAUUUGAUGGAUGGAUGUACAUUUGGUUUAUAUAUGCUUUAAUAAGAUUUAGCUGUUGAUUUGGUUGUUUCUUGGUUUGUUA